AGUAUAAAGUCAGCUGACAUGAACAUAAUAAACACGUAACAAAAGAGGGAAUUUGAUCAUCUUAGACGUCGACGAUCUUUAAAAUACCAGGUUGGGAAAAGAAAGAAGAUUUGUAGCAUUAUAUUGAAGAUGCCUGAUUAAAAGCAUUAAUAUUUUGAA
Saccostrea echinata is the source of this 159-nucleotide long non-coding RNA. RefSeq lists it as uncharacterized. The transcript has 2 exons. Lineage: Eukaryota; Metazoa; Mollusca; Bivalvia; Ostreida; Ostreidae. The record is from RefSeq and is a predicted model, not a curated record.